This 948-nucleotide long non-coding RNA is filed under the name Homo sapiens (human). Its description in RNAcentral is "HSALNT0205208". Lineage: Eukaryota; Metazoa; Chordata; Mammalia; Primates; Hominidae. The record is from RNAcentral.
AGCGACAUUCCGUCUCAAAAGAAAAAGAAAAAGAAAAGAAACUUCAUAAGGGAGAGGACACUUGGCUGUUUUUUUUGCUAACACACCUCCAGUGCCUAAAACAAUGCCUGACACAAAGCCAACAUUCAGUAAAUAUGUCUUGAAUGAAUGAACAGAUGACUUAAUGGAUGGUGAGGAAAUGGAUGGAUAAAUAUAUGGCACUUUCUCAGAAGAUGUAGUAGUUCAUUUUAUCUGUCAGGAGAGUAAAUGAUAGCAGAGCAAGGUCUGUCUCUGCUUAAGCAGAUAAAUUUUGAUAAGGAGCUGCUAUUCAUGUUGACCAACAGUCUUAAGCAGAAAGAAAUAGCUUCUGGAAAAAUAACUGUGCAACCCUUGUCAGAGUGGGCUCUGCCUUCCAUAGUUAUUCAGGAUCCCCUAGUGGAUGAAAGCCUGGUUAUCAGUCACACCAUCUGGAAUAUGUAAUUACUGUGGAAGAGGAAAAGACACACUACAGUGCAUCUUAAUUGCCUGGAAGCUGAAAGUGACAUAACUCAUUUCUGACCACAUCCCAUUGGCCAAUCCUAAUAGCAUGGCCCCAGCAUAACUGCAAGGGAAGCACAUGUAUUUGGUUAGCCCUCUGUACACAUGGUAAUUCUAAAAUUUAAUGUCCAAAAUUUUCCUUCUAUUCUACGUGAGCAAAUCCCCAAUUAUGUAAAUAAAAAACAAAAACCUCCAAACAAUGGGUCAUCUUUUGUUUCCCACAUUAUUUUGUAACUGAUAUUCAAUUCAUCAGAAAUUCUGUUAGCUUGAUAUAAAGAAUAUCCUGAAUUUGAUCACAUCUCACAACAUCUACUAAUACCAACCUCCUUCCUACUAGCUUUACAUACAUAGAAAAAUUCUUUUUUGUGUUAAAGUAAAUUUAAUUUAAAAUUACUUUUAAAUUAAAUGUUUUUAUGUAACAUGCAUGUCUGC